CCUACGGGUGGCAGCAGUGAGGAAUAUUGGUCAAUGGGCUUACGCCUGAACCAGCCAAGCCGCGUGAGGGAAGACUGCCCUAUGGGUUGUAAACUUCUUUUGUCAGGGAGCAAAUGGCGCUACGUGUACCGUUAUCGAGAGUACCUGAAGAAAAAGCAUCGGCUAACUCCGUGCCAGCAGCCGCGGUAAUAGGGAGGGGCCGAGCGUUAUCCGGAUUUAUUGGGUUUAAAGGGAGCGUAGGUGGAUUGUUAGUGCAGUAGUGAAAGUUGGCGGCCCAACCGGAGGAUUGCAGUUGAAACUGGCAGUCUUGAGUACAGUAGAGGUAGGCGGAAUUCGUGGUGUAGCGGUGAAAUGCUUAGAUAUCACGAAGAACUCCGAUUGCGAAGGCAGUUCACUGGACUGCAACUGACACUGAGGCUCGAAAGCGUGGGUAUCAAACAGGAUUAGAUACCCGGGUAGUC
Molecule: ribosomal RNA, 461 nt
Filed under: uncultured bacterium
Lineage: Bacteria
Description: partial 16S ribosomal RNA
Rfam family: Bacterial small subunit ribosomal RNA
Source: RNAcentral